GCAGCAAGAGGCGCACCAGCGGCGCGUGGCCACGCAGCACAGCCAGGUGGAGAGGGGUCCUUCCAAAGCGGUCCCUGCAAUGAAGUAAAGGUGUCCCGGGAGCCGGCAGUCUGCUGACCAGACCCUAUCCUGCCCCUCCCCAAGAAGGAAUCCCAGUCAGUCCCAGAGCUUACUUCUCUUCCACUCUGGCCCCUUGCCUCAGGAGCUUCGUCACCAAGGCAGCAGGACCAUGCCACACGGCCUGGAGCAGGUUCCCCUGGCUCUGGGGGGCACUGGGCCCCUUUGUCCUGGCUUCCCGGGCCUCCGAGCUUAGUUCUAUCCACUGCAAUUCCUGCUCUGCAGCCUCCGCCCCUUCCUGCUCCAUAGGCUCAGGCCUGCUGGAAUCCACCUGGGGAGAGUAUUCACCUUGGAGGCUCUGCCUUGUGGGCCCAGGUGUCCCAUGCCAAGGUGGAGGCACCCAUGCACACACCUUCUCCAUGGAAACCCAGCCUUCUGACUUUGAGUUACCUCCAGGGAGAAUUUCCCCAGGGGCUCUGUCCUCUGGCUGGGGGGUCACCUCCACGCUGAUUCUAGCCCAGUACCAGCCUAGUGACUGUCCUCACAAGACUCCUUCUGCAGGCUGUUGUGGGAGUUUCACCUGAGAGGCCAGGGGUGAAGAGAAGCUCCUACUUCUUCCUGGGCCAGGCGGAGCCACUGGCACGGUUUACCCAGUAAUCUAAGGAGAAGCUCUGCCUGCCUGGCUGCAGCCCCUGGCCAGCACCCUACCCCCUGCAGACUGCCUGGCCUCCCUCAGACCUCCUGCCAGGAACCAAGACCAGGGCAGUCUGGGAAGCGCAAACAGGAACAUGCUCCUGGGUGACAUUCCUCCCCCCACAACCUGCACAAGGAACAUGGCCUCUGAUGUGCCUGGACUUGCCCCCAGUCACCUUUGCUCUGACCCUACCCCUGCUCCUGUUUCUACUGGCUAAAAGGACCUGAGGAUGGAGCCACCUCUCCUGAGUUGGGUCAGAGCUGGGGAAGAGUUCAAGAGACUUGUGCUGGCCAACAGGAGACAGCCCAACUCUGGAGCUGCCCAUUACACCCACCCCCACUACCCCCAGGCUGCAAAGGAUGAGGUGUUUGGAGGGUUGUACCCUGGCCCCUCAUUACCUCGCUAGCAGGCAGCCCUUCCAGGUGCCCCAAGGGUGGACAAUCCAUGAGGGCAUACCCCAGCAGGCUGGCCAGCAAAGAAGCAGUGAGCUCUGGACUGAUGUAAAUACCCAAAGCAAGAGGAGCUUUGGUCUCAGCAUCCGCCCCCUGGCCUUCGUCCCACAGGAGGACCCAAAUUUGAGGGGGAUAAGGGCACUUGUGCUAAGGAGUCACCUGCAUGGUGCAGUUGUCCCUGGGGAUCAGUGGAAAGACCCACACCUCAUCAUAGUAAGGGAGGAUGUAGAACUGCCUGUGCCAGCCUCCCAGAAGGAGGCAGGUGAGACAGUGGGCCUCAUGUGGCUCCCUGGACAGUCUGCCUUCCCCAGCUCUGCCCAGGCCUUGGUGGAUUGGGUUUGCCUUGCCUCUGGGUCCAGGCAAGGCUGCCAGGAUGCCAGCUCAGGCUCACCUCUGGGAGGCAGGCCUUUGAAGCCCAGAGCCAAGAGCAGUUCUUGGCACCAAACUGUGGUUUGAAUGUGUCCUUCAAAAGUGCAUGUGUUGGACACUUAAUUCCCAGUUAUACGUUGAUGGCAUUUGCAGCUGGGGCCUUUGGGAGCUAAUUAGGAUCAGUUGAGGUCAUGAGGGAAGGGCCUCCAUGAUCAAAUUAAUGGUUUUGUGAGAGAGUGGGCUGGGGAAGUGGAUCAGUGGUAAAGCAUUUUCCUGGCAUGUGUGAGGCCCUGGAUUUGUAUUCCCAGCACUGGAGAAGAAGAAGAAGGAGG
Molecule: long non-coding RNA, 1904 nt
Organism: Marmota monax (woodchuck)
Lineage: Eukaryota; Metazoa; Chordata; Mammalia; Rodentia; Sciuridae
Exons: 3
Source: RefSeq, a predicted model, not a curated record